AAGUCGUAACAAGGUUUCCGUAGGUGAACCUGCGGAAGGAUCAUUAACACGUAUCCAACGUUAAACAACCCUGUGAACCUUGAACGUGCUCUCGCACACGCUCUAGCAGCAAUCCCGACCAGCUAUUGAGUCAGGGACCUCUGCUUUAAAACGAUGCGAUACGAGCGCCAGAGUAAGUGCGGCCUGGCAUCCUAGCAAUCUGUCAGUGGUUGCGCAAGGAUGGCGCAGUAAACGAUCGCUGUAGGCCCACACGGCCGGCGACCGGGCCUCUGUGCUUCGGCACCUAACGACCCCAUGUUUCGUACCCGGUGCGCUGUAACAACCGCACCACAAACUCGAACAACUGUUAACAAUGGAUAUCUUGGUUCUC
This 370-nucleotide unclassified non-coding RNA is filed under the name fungal sp. Its description in RNAcentral is "partial internal transcribed spacer region". The stretch from base 1 to 46 matches the Rfam family "Eukaryotic small subunit ribosomal RNA", at positions 1786 to 1831 of the family's 1831-position model. Lineage: Eukaryota; Fungi. The record is from RNAcentral.